This 305-nucleotide ribosomal RNA is filed under the name uncultured bacterium. RNAcentral describes it as "bacterial SSU rRNA". It matches the Rfam family "Bacterial small subunit ribosomal RNA", at positions 336 to 639 of the family's 1533-position model. The record is from RNAcentral.
UUCCUACGGGGCGCAGCAGUGAGGAAUAUUGGUCAAUGGACGAGAGUCUGAACCAGCCAAGUAGCGUGAAGGAUGACUGCCCUAUGGGUUGUAAACUUCUUUUAUAUGGGAAUAAAACGUUCCACGUGUGGGAUUUUGUAUGUACCAUAUGAAUAAGGAUCGGCUAACUCCGUGCCAGCAGCCGCGGUAAUACGGAGGAUCCGAGCGUUAUCCGGAUUUAUUGGGUUUAAAGGGUGCGUAGGCGGAAUGCCAAGUCAGCGGUAAAAUCGCGGGGCUCAACCUCGCUCCGCCGUUGAUACUGGCGU